RNAcentral lists this transfer-messenger RNA (369 nucleotides) under Fulvimarina sp. It matches the Rfam family "Alphaproteobacteria transfer-messenger RNA". Rfam says of the family: Bacterial tmRNA, also known as 10Sa RNA or SsrA, is named for its dual tRNA and mRNA-like properties. Its role is to liberate the mRNA from a stalled ribosome. To accomplish this part of the tmRNA is used as a reading frame that ends in a translation stop signal. Lineage: Bacteria; Pseudomonadati; Pseudomonadota; Alphaproteobacteria; Hyphomicrobiales; Aurantimonadaceae. The record is from RNAcentral.
GCUCUUUUCACAGGCGGCUAAUGUCCUUAUAUUCACGNNNGCCGGGCANNCGNCCGGCUAUGGCGAUAAACGUUCGUUGGAAUAAGCCUUUCGGACCCGGGGGCGGUACCCGGCGCCUCCACCNCAUGNCACGNUCGCGGCGAAGCNNNCCUGGCAUGNGGCGGGGGCGAAAUAGGAUCGACGAGGGUGUAAAGAGCGGAUUUUUGCUCGGCAUGGUUCCGCCGUUAUCGGGCCGAAAAAGUAGUUGCCAACGACAACUAUGCGGAAGCACGUCUCGCAGCGUAAGCUGUGCGAUAGCUUCAAUUCAAGUCCUGGGGGUUCGCACUUCUAGGCGGGGCUCGGAGGCGCCUGGCAACAGAAGCCUCCACU